AUAUACAAAUGAUGAAAGGCCUUAAGAACAGUUCAAGUUACCAGGUUUAUCAUGACUGGAAUCUGUCGGUCUUCCAUCCUACCACUCUUUCAUCCUACCACUGAAAACACACAGCCCCAUCUUCUUCGUUUUCUUCUUCUUUCUGCUCACUUUGCUUGCUCUAUGAAUGUAUUCACCUACUCCUGUCUGAGAAGGGAGAAGAUUGGUUCAGUAGAGUGAGAGGAGAGAAGAUCAAAGCGACAGAAAGAGAGACAACCUGAAUGGAAGGGGAACCAGCGAUCGCCUACGGUGGGCCACAGCGUUGAUGUCCUCCCGUUCCUCCUUCUUCAGUCUGUUAAGAAACGUCGCUCCCUUCAAUUUCGAUUCCGGCGAACCGUCCAUCGGAAUCCAUGCUUGAUGCUUGACGUCUGAAAUUACAGCUCUGACCGGUAUGUUUCAGCAACUAGGGCUCGAAUUUUAAUUACUUUUGGCUAAAUCUUUACAAUUUGAGGUAUGGCGUUUAUGUUUUCAGAUUGCAUGUACAAAUUGACAUGCACUUUGGGUCUCACUUGGGUUGAUUGUAGAUUCCGCUGUUCUCUUUGCUUUUCAUCGAAGAUAAAUGACUUGGACCCAGUAAAAGAGAUUUCCAUGGAGUAGAGAGAGGGGACCAGAGAAUAGGUUAUAGAGAGACAAAAGAAAAAUAGAAAGAGAGCGUGAACUCGGUGACCAUCUUCGUCUUCUGCUCCCUGUUCCAGCUGCGAUGGGUCUGGUUGAUACCAAAGGUUAACGUUGACGAUGAACUCAACGGAAGAGACCAUGAUGUUAGCGAGGUUAUCAGUAGUGCCUAGGGUUCCAGGAGAACUCCGACGAGUCAGAUCUCCCGUUUUGGUGUAGCUUGGCAAACACUAAGGUGUACCGACAUUGUGUGGAUUAGGUCUUUAGCUGGUGGUUGAUGUUGGGUUUUUGUUGGUCGGCGAGUAAAGCAGCUAGAGGUGGUUCCAACAAGUGGGAUUGUGACAAUUGAUGGGUUUUUGCAGCUGUAACAUUACCGACAGCUGAGACGCCUGUCGGUGGCAGAAACGACUCCAACAGCCGCACAAUGGUCACGAGAGAGUAAAGAGAGAACCCUUUCGAUUUCAAUUUAGGAUCUUUUCUCCUCAAAAACUUCUGAUCUACCCUUCUCAAAGAAAUCAUCUUAUUCUUGAACAAGGCAAUAGUGAUAUAUUGGAGGAUUCUAAAAAUUAAGGCAAGCAAAGGAUUAUUAGUACGUGUAGCUCAUGACAAAAGAACUUACAUAUCAUUAGUUUGUGGUACAUUGACCCGUUACGCUAUAAAAAAAAAAAACUUAAAUUAGAAAUACUCCAGGUAACGACAAACCCAUUAUGUUUUUUUUUUUUUUUUAUUUAUAGCUACUUGGUUUAUGCCACAAUGAUGUUUGGUGUGGUUACUGUCACAUUAUUCACUUCAUCUUUUUCCUA
Molecule: long non-coding RNA, 1457 nt
Organism: Helianthus annuus (common sunflower)
Lineage: Eukaryota; Viridiplantae; Streptophyta; Magnoliopsida; Asterales; Asteraceae
Exons: 4
Source: RefSeq, a predicted model, not a curated record